UCAAUAAGCGGAGGAAAAGAAACUAACAAGGAUUCCCCUAGUAACUGCGAGUGAAGCGGGAAAAGCUCAAAUUUGAAAUCUGGCGGUUCUUGACCGUCCGAGUUGUAAUCUAGAGAAGUGCUACCUGUGCUGGACCAUGUACAAGUCUCCUGGAAUGGAGCAUCACAGAGGGUGAGAAUCCCGUCUUUGACAUGGACGACCUGCGCAUUAUGGGUGUGCUCUCGAAGAGUCGAGUUGUUUGGGAAUGCAGCUCAAAAUGGGUGGUAAAUGCCAUCUAAAGCUAAAUAUUGGCGAGAGACCGAUAGCGAACAAGUACCGUGAGGGAAAGAUGAAAAGAACUUUGGAAAGAGAGUUAAACAGUACGUGAAAUUGCUGAAAGGGAAACGCUUGAAGUCAGUCGCAUUGGCUGGAAAUCAACCCUGCUUUUGCUUGGUGUACUUUCCGGUUGAUGGGUCAGCAUCAGUUUUGACCGCUGGAUAAAGUCUUUGGGAAUGUGGCAUCCUCGGAUGUGUUAUAGCCCAUUGUCGCAUGCAGUGGUUGGGAUUGAGGAACUCAGCACGCCGCAAGGCCGGGUUUCGACCACGCUCGUGCUUAGGAUGCUGGCAUAAUGGCUUUAAUCGACCCGUCUUGAAACACGGACCAAGGAGUCUAACAUGCCUGCGAGUGUUUGGGUGGAAAACCCAUGCGCGCAAUGAAAGUGAAAGUUGAGAUCCCCUGCAAAGGGAGAGCAUUGACGCCCGGACCAGACCUUCUGUGACGGAUCCGCGGUAGAGCAUGCAUGUUGGGACCCGAAAGAUGGUGAACUAUGCCUGAAUAGGGUGAAGCCAGAGGAAACUCUGGUGGAGGCUCGUAGCGAUUCUGACGUGCAAAUCGAUCGUCAAAUUUGGGUAUAGGGGCGAAAGACUAAUCGAACCAUCUAGUAGCUGGUUCCUG
This 933-nucleotide ribosomal RNA is filed under the name Inocybe redolens. Its description in RNAcentral is "eukaryotic LSU rRNA". It matches the Rfam family "Eukaryotic large subunit ribosomal RNA", at positions 43 to 960 of the family's 3401-position model. Lineage: Eukaryota; Fungi; Basidiomycota; Agaricomycetes; Agaricales; Inocybaceae. The record is from RNAcentral.